RNAcentral lists this ribosomal RNA (455 nucleotides) under uncultured Anoxybacillus sp. Its description in RNAcentral is "bacterial SSU rRNA". It matches the Rfam family "Bacterial small subunit ribosomal RNA", at positions 929 to 1382 of the family's 1533-position model. Lineage: Bacteria; Bacillati; Bacillota; Bacilli; Caryophanales; Anoxybacillaceae. The record is from RNAcentral.
GCGGUGGAGCAUGUGGUUUAAUUCGAAGCAACGCGAAGAACCUUACCAGGUCUUGACAUCCCCUGACAACCCGAGAGAUCGGGCGUUCCCCUUCGGGGGACAGGGUGACAGGUGGUGCAUGGUUGUCGUCAGCUCGUGUCGUGAGAUGUUGGGUUAAGUCCCGCAACGAGCGCAACCCUCGACCUUAGUUGCCAGCAUUCAGUUGGGCACUCUAAGGUGACUGCCGGCUAAAAGUCGGAGGAAGGUGGGGAUGACGUCAAAUCAUCAUGCCCCUUAUGAUCUGGGCUACACACGUGCUACAAUGGGCGGUACAAAGGGUCGCGAACCCGCGAGGGGGAGCCAAUCCCAAAAAGCCGCUCUCAGUUCGGAUUGCAGGCUGCAACUCGCCUGCAUGAAGCCGGAAUCGCUAGUAAUCGCGGAUCAGCAUGCCGCGGUCGAAUACGUUCCCGGGCCUU